AGAAUCAACGCUGGCGGCGUGCCUAACACAUGCAAGUCGCACGAGAAAGGGACUUCGGUCCUGAGUACAGUGGCGCACGGGUGAGUAACACGUGACUUAUCUACCUUUGAGUGGGGAAUAACCUGGGGAAACCCGGGCUAAUACCGCAUAAUACCUACGGGUCAAAGGAGCAAUUCGCUUAAGGAGGGGGUCGCGGCCGAUUAGUUAGUUGGCGGGGUAAUGGCCCACCAAGACUGUGAUCGGUAUCC
RNAcentral lists this ribosomal RNA (248 nucleotides) under uncultured bacterium. Its description in RNAcentral is "partial small subunit ribosomal RNA". It matches the Rfam family "Bacterial small subunit ribosomal RNA", at positions 26 to 288 of the family's 1533-position model. The record is from RNAcentral.